CUGUACGCACACAGUAUUGUAUUUCUUUCUGUUGACGGACUUUUACUUUGACAUCAUACUCGUCUCGUGGGAUAGGGAACAACUGUGAAAGUUAGUAACGCACAUAUCUAGUAAGCCGUCGCUGUCUCACACUGUGAUAAAUAUGUUUAAGUGACCUAUGUUUAAAUUCUAUGAACUGUGUUAGUUCGUUGAAACGUAAAAUGUAAUUACCGGUAUUAUUCAUUUAGAUACGUUACGUUACUACCACUAGACCGUCUGAUCCGCCUCUGAAUGUCUUUGUCCAAUCAGGUAACAGUCAGGCAAAAGUCGUGCUUCACAUGACACCGUUACGAGCGACGCGAUAUUCUAAAUAUCAUGCAUUUCAACGGGAGCCAAUCCAUUGUGACGUAGACCACCGUUUUGGACUUAACGGUGCAAACCCAUGACAGCGACGCGAUACGCUUCCAUCGCUUUGAGUGGGCGUGUUGUAUCGUGUGGAAAUAUCAUUUUCAAACCGUCAGAGACGACACUAACGGUGCAAACCCAUGACAGCGACGCGAUACGCUUCCAUCGCUUUGAGUGGGCGUGUUGUAGCGUGUGGAAAUAUCAUUUUUUAAACCGUCAGAGACGACACCAAACAAUCUGAUUGGCCACUGCCGGGAAAAAUCGCUCCUCAUUUGCAUAUGUAGGGGUACCCAAUAGCCCCAACAGAACUUGUAUAUAGCCAGCCAAUCAGUGACUGGAGAGUUGGUGCGCGGGCGAAUGGAGAGAGAGGAGGGGGCGGGACAAGCGGCAGACGGAGAAUGACGAGAGAGAAGAUGGCGGCGCCCGUAGAGCCCCCACGUUAUUGUGAGUGAAUAACAGGAAGAUAAGUCAGUUAAUUGUAAGUUUAGCUCUAAGUUUAUUAAGUUUGUUAGUGUCCGUGUUACGGAAUAAUUACGGUUGGAGUGAAGAAGGAGUCUACACCACCAGCACUGAAGAUCACCCGGUGUCGCUGUCAAAAAUAUAGCACGUUGUAGUGUGAGGCGGAAUGUCCUCGCUAGUUAGUGAAGUGUUAAACAUUUAGAAACAAGCUCGUCGCCAACGUCGGAGACUUCACCAGGCCAGGGAACUUGGACAGCUAGCCGUUCGCCACUACAGGGCCCUUGAUGUGCCCGCAGCUCACUUGCCCUCUCUCCCUCCCUCUCCCACGCCACUGACAGAUGGUGUGGUUCGUGAGUAUUACCCUGCCACAUGUGACUCACAUUGUCAACGAGCAGCAAAGUGUCCGGGACGGUAAUGUCCGAUUUGGGAACAGUUCAAUACACUUUGAGGACCGUGGCUCGACCAUUUUGAACUGAACGUGCAAAACAGUGAACUGCAGUGAACAUCAUACUGAAUGUGGAAAACAUUGGACUUUGAUUGUGAAAUAUGUUUAUUGUGCAAAACGAACUUCUGUUAUGGGUUUGAAUGAUGUAAUUGAAUGUCUUUGCAUUUAAUUAGGAGUAAGAGUGUUAAACUUGACUUGGAGUAUAUUGCAUUUGUGUACAUACCGUAUGUUGCUAGGGUCAUUAACACACAGUGGAUUCAGUGUAUGUUGGCACGGGGCAUUGGUAUUUUGUGUUCUGGUUAUUGUGCCCUUUUCAGUUAGACGAACUCACCGGUGAGUAGGACAGGUGUGUCUGUUAGAGUAUUGUCAUGAGCAGGGCGGGAAGUGUUUCAGUGUGACAUAAUUGUUCUAAACUAAUUAAAUAAUAAAUUUAAUGUAACUUUUUCCUAUGGUUAGUUCCACCUGUUACAUAUAGGAUUCAACAUUUUCCAACAUUUAUCGGUCG
Molecule: long non-coding RNA, 1793 nt
Organism: Clupea harengus (Atlantic herring)
Lineage: Eukaryota; Metazoa; Chordata; Actinopteri; Clupeiformes; Clupeidae
Source: Ensembl